GGGGAAAGCUAACAUGCAGUCGAACGGGGUGCCUUUGACAGAGGAUUCGUCCAAUGGAUAAGGUUACCUAGUGGCGGACGGGUGAGUAACGCGUGAGUAACCUGCCCUGGAGUGGGGAAUAACAGCUGGAAACAGCUGCUAAUUCCGGAUAACAACACUAGACGCAUGUCUAGAGUUUGAAAGAUGGUUCUGCUAUCACUCUUGGAUGGACCUGCGGUGCAUUAGCUAGUUGGUAAGGUAACGGCUUACCAAGGCAAUGAUGCAUAGCCGAGUUGAGAGACUGAUCGGCCACAUUGGGACUGAGACACGGCCCAAACUCCUACGGGAGGCAGCAGUAGGGAAUCUUCCACAAUGGACGAAAGUCUGAUGGAGCAACGCCGCGUGAGUGAAGAAGGGUUUCGGCUCGUAAAGCUCUGUUGGUAGUGAAGAAAGAUAGAGGUAGUAACUGGCCUUUAUUUGACGGUAAUUACUUAGAAAGUCACGGCUAACUACGUGCCAGCAGCCGCGGUAAUACGUAGGUGGCAAGCGUUGUCCGGAUUUAUUGGGCGUAAAGCGAGUGCAGGCGGUUCAAUAAGUCUGAUGUGAAAGCCUUCGGCUCAACCGGAGAAUUGCAUCAGAAACUGUUGAACUUGAGUGCAGAAGAGGAGAGUGGAACUCCAUGUGUAGCGGUGGAAUGCGUAGAUAUAUGGAAGAACACCAGUGGCGAAGGCGGCUCUCUGGUCUGCAACUGACGCUGAGGCUCGAAAGCAUGGGUAGCGAACAGGAUUAGAUACCCUGGUAGUCCAUGCCGUAAACGAUGAGUGCUAAGUGUUGGGAGGUUUCCGCCUCUCAGUGCUGCAGCUAACGCAUUAAGCACUCCGCCUGGGGAGUACGACCGCAAGGUUGAAACUCAAAGGAAUU
RNAcentral lists this ribosomal RNA (900 nucleotides) under uncultured bacterium. RNAcentral describes it as "bacterial SSU rRNA". It matches the Rfam family "Bacterial small subunit ribosomal RNA", at positions 43 to 911 of the family's 1533-position model. The record is from RNAcentral.